UACGUAGGGUGCAAGCGUUAAUCGGCAUUACUGGGCGUAAAGCGUGCGCAGGCGGCUUUGCAAGACAGAUGUGAAAUCCCCGGGCUUAACCUGGGAACUGCAUUUGUGACUGCAUGGCUGGAGUGCGGCAGAGGGGGAUGGAAUUCCGCGUGUAGCAGUGAAAUGCGUAGAUAUGCGGAGGAACACCGAUGGCGAAGGCAAUCCCCUGGGCCUGCACUGACGCUCAUGCACGAAAGCGUGGGGAGCAAACAGG
This 253-nucleotide ribosomal RNA is filed under the name uncultured bacterium. Its description in RNAcentral is "partial 16S ribosomal RNA". It matches the Rfam family "Bacterial small subunit ribosomal RNA", at positions 524 to 776 of the family's 1533-position model. The record is from RNAcentral.